CAACUUCCCGGAUGGGGCUGUGGUGGGUCACAGUGCAGCCUCCAGCCAGAAGGAUGGGGUGGCUCCCACUCCUGCUGCUUCUGACUCAAUGCUUAGGGGUCCCUGGGCAGCGCUCGCCAUUGAAUGACUUCUAGGUGCUCCGGGGCACAGAGCUACAGCGCCGCUACAAGCGGUGGUGCCCGGGCCUUGGCAGGAGGAUGUGGCAGAUGCUGAAGAGUGUGCUGGUCGCUGUGGGCCCUUAAUGGACUGCCGGGCGUUCCACUACAAUGUGAGCAGCCAUGGUUGCCAACUGCUGCCAUGGACUCAACACUCACCCCACACGAGGCUGCGGCAUUCUGGGCGCUGUGACCUCUUCCAGGAGAAAGGUACAUGCCCACGCUCCGGAAUGGCCUGGAAGAGAACUUCUGCCGUAACCCUGAUGGCGACCCCGGAGGUCCUUGGUGCCACACAACAGACCCUGCCGUGCGCUUCCAGAGCUGCGGCAUCAAAUCCUGCCGGGUGGCCGCGUGUGUCUGGUGCAAUGGCGAGGAAUACCGCGGCGCGGUAGACCGCACCGAGUCAGGGCGCGAGUGCCAGCGCUGGGAUCUUCAGCACCCGCACCAGCACCCCUUCGAGCCGGGUUCCUCGACCAAGGUCUGGACGACAACUAUUGCCGGAAUCCUGACGGCUCCGAGCGGCCAUGGUGCUACACUACGGAUCCGCAGAUCGAGCGAGAAUUCUGUGACCUCCCCCGCUGCGGGUCCGAGGCACAGCCCCGCCAAGAGGCCACAAGUGUCAGCUGCUUCCGCGGGAAGGGUGAGGGCUACCGGGGCACAGCCAAUACCACCACCGCGGGCGUACCUUGCCAGCGUUGGGACGCGCAAAUCCCGCAUCAGCACCGAUUUACGCCAGAAAAAUACGCGUGCAAGUGAGGUGGGGGGGCGGGCGUUGGGACGUGCUGCUGCGGGUGAGACGGGAGGAGGGUAGUCACGGGCUUAGGGCUGGAGGCUGGCGGGCUAGGGCUGAGUGCAGCGCCUGCUUAGAGACCUUCGGGAGAACUUCUGCCGGAACCCCGACGGCUCAGAGGCGCCCUGGUGCUUCACACUGCGGCCCGGCAUGCGCGUGGGCUUUUGCUACCAGAUCCGGCGUUGUACAGACGACGUGCGGCCCCAGGGUGAGGCCCAAGCUUGGGGGCUACAGAGCCGGGGCUGGAAGCCUGGAACCGGAGGGCCGGGGCGGGGUCUCGGCCUGAUGGCUGCCCGCACCGGCCGCAGACUGCUACCACGGCGCGGGGGAGCAGUACCGCGGCACGGUCAGCAAGACCCGCAAGGGUGUCCAGUGCCAGCGCGGGUCCGCUGAGACGCCGCACAAGCCGCAGUGAAUCCCUGGUGCUCCCGGCCCCGCCAGGGCCCUAACCCUGGGGCGGCAUGCUUUGAUGUCUGGGACCAGAGCCUGGAAAUGGUUGAGACUACCCUGCCACGACUUCGCUCCCGCUCCCGCCUCGGUUCACGUUUACCUCCGAACCGCAUGCACAACUGGAGGAGAACUUCUGCCAGACCCAGAUGGGGAUAGCCAUGGGCCCUGGUGCUACACGAUGGACCCAAGGACCCCAUUCGACUACUGUGCCCUGCGACGCUGCGCUGAUGACCAGCCGCCAUCAAUCCUGGACCCCCCCAGACCAGGUGCAGUUUGAGAAGUGUGGCAAGAGGGUGGAUCGGCUGGAUCAGCGUUGUUCCAAGCUGCGCGUGGCUGGGGGCCAUCCGGGCAACUCACCCUGGACAGUCAGCUUGCGGAAUUGGUGAGGCACAACUGCCUGUCUCCCACAGAGAGGAGCUGAGGCAGGGCCAGCAUUUCUGCGGGGGGUCUCUAGUGAAGGAGCAGUGGAUACUGACUGCCCGGCAGUGCUUCUCCUCCUGCCAUAUGCCUCUCACGGGCUAUGAGGUAUGGUUGGGCACCCUGUUCCAGAACCCACAACAUGGAGAGCCAGGCCUACAGCGGGUCCCAGUAGCCAAGAUGCUGUGUGGGCCCUCAGGCUCUCAGCUUGUCCUGCUCAAGCUGGAGAGAUCUGUGACCCUGAACCAGCGUGUGGCCCUGAUCUGCCUGCCGCCUGAAUGAUAUGUGGUGCCUCCAGGGACCAAGUGUGAGAUUGCAGGCCGGGGUGAGACCAAAGGUACGGGUAAUGACACAGUCCUAAAUGUGGCCUUGCUGAAUGUCAUCUCCAACCAGGAGUGUAACAUCAAGCACCGAGGACAUGUGCGGGAGAGCGAGAUGUGCACUGAGGGACUGUUGGCCCCUGUGGGGGCCUGUGAGGGUGACUACGGGGGCCCACUUGCCUGCUUUACCCACAACUGCUGGGUCCUGAAAGGAAUUAGAAUCCCCAACCGAGUAUGCGCAAGGUCGCGCUGGCCAGCCGUCUUCACGCGUGUCUCUGUGUUUGUGGACUGGAUUCACAAGGUCAUGAGACUGGGUUAGGCCCAGCCUUGACGCCAUAUGCUUUGGGGAGGACAAAACUUGUAAGUACAGUCAAGGACAAGACUUGUACUCAAGGCUGAGAUUUAAUAAAAUUCAUAUUUUUACUACUUCACCAAGGACUUUCUUAAAUGAAAAUGGUUUUUCCCCCUACAAGUAAACAGUAAUAAAGAAGAGAAUUAUUCCUA
RNA transcript from Homo sapiens (human), 2636 nucleotides. It is a transcript of the gene named macrophage stimulating 1 pseudogene 2, with no coding region annotated. The transcript has 14 exons. The record is from RefSeq and is marked provisional. Lineage: Eukaryota; Metazoa; Chordata; Mammalia; Primates; Hominidae.